Molecule: ribosomal RNA, 463 nt
Filed under: uncultured bacterium
Lineage: Bacteria
Description: bacterial SSU rRNA
Rfam family: Bacterial small subunit ribosomal RNA
Source: RNAcentral
ACGCUGGCGGCGUGCCUAACACAUGCAAGUCGAACGAGAUCCAUGGAGUGCUUGCACUCCGGAAGAUCUAGUGGCGAACGGGUGAGUAACACGUGAGAAACCUGCCCCAGACUCUGGGAUAACCUCGGGAAACCGAAGCUAAUACCGGAUAUUCUCCUUUGGUCGCAUGGCCAGUUGAGGAAAGUUUUUCGGUCUGGGAGGGUCUCGCGGCCUAUCAGCUAGUUGGUGGGGUAACGGCCCACCAAGGCUACGACGGGUAGCUGGUUUGAGAGAACGAUCAGCCACACUGGAACUGAGACACGGUCCAGACUCCUACGGGAGGCAGCAGUGGGGAAUCUUGCGCAAUGGGCGAAAGCCUGACGCAGCAACGCCGCGUGCGGGAUGAAGGCCUUCGGGUUGUAAACCGCUUUCAGCAGGGACGAAAAUGACGGUACCUGCAGAAGAAGCCCCGGCUAACUACGUG